GCUCAGGAUGAACGCUAGCUACAGGCUUAACACAUGCAAGUCGAGGGGCAGCAUGAUUGAAGCUUGCUUCAAUUGAUGGCGACCGGCGCACGGGUGAGUAACGCGUAUCCAACCUUCCGUACACUCAGGGAUAGCCUUUCGAAAGAAAGAUUAAUACCUGAUGGUAUGAUGAGAUUGCAUGAUAGCAUCAUUAAAGAUUUAUUGGUGUACGAUGGGGAUGCGUUCCAUUAGGUAGUAGGCGGGGUAACGGCCCACCUAGCCGACGAUGGAUAGGGGUUCUGAGAGGAAGGUCCCCCACAUUGGAACUGAGACACGGUCCAAACUCCUACGGGAGGCAGCAGUGAGGAAUAUUGGUCAAUGGACGAGAGUCUGAACCAGCCAAGUAGCG
Molecule: ribosomal RNA, 388 nt
Filed under: uncultured Bacteroides sp.
Lineage: Bacteria; Pseudomonadati; Bacteroidota; Bacteroidia; Bacteroidales; Bacteroidaceae
Description: bacterial SSU rRNA
Rfam family: Bacterial small subunit ribosomal RNA
Source: RNAcentral